AGUGAACGCUGGCGGCGUGCCUAAUACAUGCAAGUCGAACGGAGUGGCGCACGGGUGCGUAAUAUAUAGCUACUCUUCCUCUUGCUGGCGGACAACAGUUAGAAAUGACUGCUAAUACUUCCUAGCAAGGGAUGAGCGUCUAUCGUCACAGCUAGUCGGUGGGGUAACGGCCUACCGGGGCUAUGACGCGUAACUGGUCUGCGACGAUGCUCCGUGACAUUUGAAGUGAGACACGGUGCAAACUCCUACGGGAGGGAGCAGUAGCGAAUAGAGCGCAAUCGGGGGAACGCUGACGCAGCAAGGCUGCGUGGAGUAUGAUAAUUUUCGGAGAGGAAACUCCUUUGGUUAGGGAAGCGGUACCUAACGAAUAAGCAACGGCUAACUCCGUGCCAGCAGCCGCGGUAAUAC
Molecule: ribosomal RNA, 408 nt
Filed under: uncultured bacterium
Lineage: Bacteria
Description: partial 16S ribosomal RNA
Rfam family: Bacterial small subunit ribosomal RNA
Source: RNAcentral